UAAUACGUAGGGCGCAAGCGUUGUCCGGAAUUAUUGGGCGUAAAGAGCUCGUAGGCGGCUUGUCACGUCGGGUGUGAAAGCCCGGGGCUUAACCCCGGGUCUGCAUUCGAUACGGGCUAGCUAGAGUGUGGUAGGGGAGAUCGGAAUUCCUGGUGUAGCGGUGAAAUGCGCAGAUAUCAGGAGGAACACCGGUGGCGAAGGCGGAUCUCUGGGCCAUUACUGACGCUGAGGAGCGAAAGCAUGGGGAGCGAACAGGAUUAGAUACCCUGGUAGUCCACGCCGUAAACGGUGGGAACUAGGUGUUGGCGACAUUCCACGUCGUCGGUGCCGCAGCUAACGCAUUAAGUUCCCCGCCUGGGGAGUACGGCCGCAAGGC
RNAcentral lists this ribosomal RNA (376 nucleotides) under uncultured bacterium. RNAcentral describes it as "bacterial SSU rRNA". It matches the Rfam family "Bacterial small subunit ribosomal RNA", at positions 521 to 894 of the family's 1533-position model. The record is from RNAcentral.